RNAcentral lists this small nucleolar RNA (150 nucleotides) under Cervus hanglu yarkandensis (Yarkand deer). The record is from RNAcentral. Lineage: Eukaryota; Metazoa; Chordata; Mammalia; Artiodactyla; Cervidae.
UCUGCACAUUGUUAGAGCUUGGAGUUGAGGCUGCUGGCCCAUGGACUCACAAGUGUAGGUAGUGUGCUACACGAGGGGCAAGUGUUUCGCUAACACCACAAGGGUCUCUGGCCCAAUGAGUGGAGUUGGAUAGUAAUACUUGCUACAAAA